UGGAAGGGCUCUACAAGGGUUCUGAAAAUCCCCCUUUUCCAGAGGGCUUCAUUCCUUUGUGAAGGCUGCCCUCCCAGGCUAGAGUGCUCAGUUUGGCUCCAAUGAAAUUCUCUCCCCGUAACUCUUGCCGGAGAAGGAUUAUUGAUUACGUGUUUUGACACCAUAUGUAAGGGAGUUGGCUGAAAAUUAGAACAUUACAAUUCUGUUUCAAGAAAAAUAAACAGGCCAGGGCUGAGGAUGUAAGUCCAACAAACGUCACACCCUAUGGACAAAAGGUAAGCCCGUAUCUAGACGGAAUCUAUGGGAACGUUCAAGGAUCAGGGGUCAAGUUUGAAACUUCCCAAAUCCAGAAAAGAGACAGAAAAGUAUCUUUCCUGGAGACAGGAAUUCAUCAGAUUUGUCUAAUUUGUCUCGGAAAAUUAUGUCCAUGAAGGGGGUUGCCAGGACCACCUCGAAUUUGGAGUUUCUGAUCUCUGGAUGUCAAACCAACCCAGAGGAUGACGGGUUCUCUGUGCUUGCUUUGAACUAGUCUAGGAUAGCAAAGAGUCCUACAAGUGACCGGUGCAAAUUCAAAGACAACAACCAAGAAUCACGAAAACACUCACACCUCGGCCUAGAGAACAUACAGUGAUUAAAGAAAUGCAAAAUUAAUCACUUGGAAUGAAGGAGAACGGAUAGCGAAGCAUAUCUAAGGGAGAUAGCUGAGAAUGACCAUGACGCGUAUGCUGUGGAAAAGAAGUAAAUGUCCCAGAAAUGGAAUGCGAACAGAAAUCCCACAUGAAUAAUCCACAAUGAAAGAUGUCAGUCUUUACACAGACUCUGCUUGGAUGUUUGAUAGAGAAAUUCACAAGCCAACAAAUGACAGCAAAGGUCAAACCUGUUCUAACUAGGAAGGACGAGUCAUGAGACUGCUACAAAGCGGCCUCUGAAAACGUGUGUCCAUGAAGCUUGCCGGGACAGCAGAGACACAAUUAUGACAAAUACUCUGACAUCACAGUGGACCCGAAAAACAACCUGGCCACAGCUAGACAGUGCCAGAGUUGGGCUCAAGUGGCAUAUUCAAAUCCCAUUGCACUUAACUGCAGCUUGCCAGCGGAACAUGAAAGGGGCCCGCCAGUGGGGCAGGGGUGGGUUCCACACCUUCUGGGUCGGUGGUCCAGGGUGGGCCAGGUGGAAUCCUGGGGGUGAGCCUGCUCACCACUGCUUCAGUCGUUCUGGUGCAGGCGUCCGAGGUACUGUAGAGGCAGAUGGGAAGGAACGUUAGACAGGGCCAGACUUCCACAGCCAAUACAGGAGCAUUGCCAGCAGAGGUGAGAACAGCGAUGCACUACUGCCAAAACAAAACCAAUUAACAGUUGCAAAGAAUAGGAAAACUGAAGCUCCAAAAAAUAAGAAAACAGCUUGCCACUGAGAAGAAUAAGAUCUCUAUGAAGAACCCUAGCGAAAGUGGUGAAAAUUAUGUUAAUUCGAAAACUAGCAAACUUUUGGGGAAAGAAAUUCAUGAAGACACAAAGAAAAAGAAGGAGAUUCCUGGAUCCAGGGUUGGAAGAAUGAACACACUUGAAACGUCCAUACCGGAGAAAGGAAUCUCUGGAUUGCAUGCAAUCCCAGUCAAAGUUGUGGCAAUAUGUGCCAUAGAGAUAGAAGAGAGAAUCCUAAAGUUUCUAACCAGCAACAAGAGACCCUGAAGAGGCAAAGGAUUCCUCAGGAAAAUGAACAAAGCAGAACGUGUCACAAUUUCUGAUUUCAACAUAUAGGACGAAGCGCUAGGUACCGAAACGGCAAAGUCUUGGCCCCAAAACAGGCACACAGACCCAUGCAACAGAAUCGACAGCCCAGAGCCCAACUCAAACGUACAUGGACAGCCCAUUUUCGACCAGGGAGCCAAGAGGAGACAGUGGAGAAAGGAGAGUCUCUACAAGAAACGGUGCUGGGCAGCCUGCACAGCCACAUGGAGCACAACGAGACAACACCAUGAUGUUACACGUGGCACACACACCACCUGAAAUGGAUUAAAGCCCUGAAUGGCAGACUUGAAACGGGGAAACUUGUAGGAGAAGACCUAGGCAGAGUGCUCUUUGCCAUCUGUCUGAGCCACCUAUUUGGAAGAAGCAUGCCUGACUGGGAAAUGGCAACAAAGGAAACAAGAAACAAACGGGACCACAUCAAAUGCACACGCUUCUGCCCAGUCAAGGAAACCAUCGACUCUAUGCAAACACAGAACAACAACUGGGAGAGGAUGUUUGCAAAGCACACAUUGGACACGGGGUGAAAAGCCCAAAGAUACAAUCAACUCACACGCCUCAACAAGAAAAAAAACAGCAAGCCAAUGAAAACCUGGACAAAAGAUGGAAACAGAGAUUUCUCCCAAGAAGAUCUAAAGAGGGCCAACAGGUGCAUGAAAACUUGUUCGCCAUCAUCAAGUCUCAGGCCAAUUCAAAUCCAAACUGUGAGGACAUAGCAGCUCACUGUGGUCAGAAUGGCUGUAAGGAACCAGACAGGAAACAACAAGUGUCAGAGAGGAGGUGGAGAGAAGGGAAGCCUCCUGCACUGCUGGUGGGAGUGCAAACUGGUGCAGCCAGAACGCCAAGCGGUGUGGAACAGCCUCACAAAUUUAAUAAUCCAUGUCCCAUACGAUCCAGCUAUUCCUCUGUGGCGUGUUUAUUCAAAGAACUCGGAAGCACUACCGCAUAAAGACAUGUGCAACGCUGAGUUCACCACAGCCUUACUCCCGCUAUCCAACACUUGGAAGCUGCCCUGGUGCCCAGCAAGGGACGAAUGGAAAAAGAAGAUGGGUUAUAGCCACUCAAUGGCAUACCACUCAGCCGGAACAAAGGAUGCAAUCCAGCCAUUUGUGACCACCAGAAUGGUUGUGAGGGUUAUAGGGGAAGGGACACAAGCUCCA
Equus caballus (horse) is the source of this 2905-nucleotide long non-coding RNA. The record is from Ensembl. NCBI's taxonomy places the organism in Eukaryota, Metazoa, Chordata, Mammalia, Perissodactyla, Equidae.